CAUGUUGAGCUGCACCUUGUCCCCUUCCGCCCCAGCUAACUCGGUGACCAGUGGAGGCCACACCCACGUGACACCUGCUGUCCUUGACAGCAGCUCCGACGGCACCUCUGUGGCUCUGCAGGAGCCGCCUCCCCGCCUCGUGGGCACACAGAAUCGACAUCUAGAGGAGUACUCACCACUUAAUUGAUGAUCAAUACACGUUCCUUGAAAGAACCGAUAGCAUGCGAUCGAUACAGAGCAUCUGCACUGGGAUUGUCCGCCCCGCCUGUCAGGGAGGCCUCGGGGGCUAAUGGAGCUGAGGGUAUAGUCGGCCUUGGACCCUCGCUUUUUUCCUUUCCUGUACUAUGAAGAUAACUGCCUUAUCUCCCCCUCAGGACUGUUUUGGGGAUUAAAUAGGACGUUUAAAUUACCAACGCUCUUUGAAAUAAACAUUUCAAAAUUAUUAUAACCCUUUAGUACAUGUGGGAAAACGUUGACAUUCAUGUUCAAGUUUAUUUUUCUGCUGGCUCAUUUAGGUUUGUUGAAGCCUUGAGUCCCUAGGAUUGUCUAAGAACAUGGGUAAAUGUGUGUGGAGGCCUCCCUGGAGGCCAGAGAACUGCCAGCAGCCUUCAUGAUGUUAGGGGAACAGGAACCUAGGAGAGCCAGGGUGACAUCGUUUUAAAAUCAACAACCCAUCUUGGCGGGCGCGGUGGCUCAAGCCUGUAAUCCCAGCAGUUUGGGAGAAAAAAAUUAGCCGGGUGUGGUGGUGGGCACCUGUAAUCUCAGCUACUCAGGAGGCUGAAGCAGAAUUGCUUGAACCCAGGAGGCAGAGGUUGCAGUGAGCUGAGAUCACGCCAUGGCACUCUAGCCUGGGCAACAAGAAUGAAACUCUGUCUCAAAAAAAUAAAAAUAAAAUAAAAUAAACUCCAUCUUAAAACCAGUGAAACCACCAUUGCAAAAUUAUAACUGAGACAGUGAGAGAUCUGACCUAACCAACUCCAUCCUACUUUUAACCUCCAAACUGUCCUUGUUCAUUCCUGGGUGUAGGCCAAACUAACUUUGGAAGAAACUUAGUUUAUGGUUUCCCGAAACAAAUCCUUUUCUUGUCUGGAGACUAGACUGCCUUUGUAGGACUAAC
RNAcentral lists this long non-coding RNA (1117 nucleotides) under Homo sapiens (human). RNAcentral describes it as "CLN8 antisense RNA 1 (CLN8-AS1)". The record is from RNAcentral. Lineage: Eukaryota; Metazoa; Chordata; Mammalia; Primates; Hominidae.